RNAcentral lists this unclassified non-coding RNA (634 nucleotides) under Hevea brasiliensis (rubber tree). Lineage: Eukaryota; Viridiplantae; Streptophyta; Magnoliopsida; Malpighiales; Euphorbiaceae. The record is from RNAcentral.
UAAAAAAAAAUAAAUAAAUAAAUAAUCCCAUACUUGUUAAAAACACAGCACUCUUAACAUGUUUCGUGCAAAAAUAAUUUUGAUGAGACAUCUUCAAUAGCGUUUAGCGCUAAUAAAGAAAAUAGUUAUGGAUGCAAACAAAAAUCAAGUCAAUGUUUAUAGAACCACAGACACCUUCGCUUUAUAAUGAAAUGAAAGCUUAAUUGAAGUAAGAAAUUGCAAGACUUGAGCUGAUUUCCAGUCUUUCAAUUAACGAAAUAGUGCGAUUCAUGCUCAUGGAAGAGGUAAAAAUAAAUAAAUAAAUACAUACUAGUAGCACCAACAACAAUAUUACUAAAAGAAACAAUUGAAGCUGAUUUCCUCAUAUUGCUUUAACUACUCUCAACUAAUCAAAAUCUAAAAAUCCUCGUUUUUCUCUUAAUUUUCUUCUCUCACAAUUUCUCAGCAAGCAAACAAAGUAAAAGCAAAUAAGAAAGUAAACUCAAAGCAGUAGCAAUCAAAGGAUCAUUUGCAGAAGCGCGUGACCCUUUCUCAGGAUUCUGCUUCGUAACCACCAUGGAUCUAAAAAAAAAAAAACUCGCUUUUCAAAUUGAGAGAAAAAUCUGGUUCGAGUAAUUGUGGAAUCCAAAAGAGA